GACGAACGCUGGCGGCGUGCUUAACACAUGCAAGUCGAACGGAAAGGCCCUGCUUUUGUGGGGUGCUCGAGUGGCGAACGGGUGAGUAACACGUGAGUAACCUGCCCUUGACUUUGGGAUAACUUCAGGAAACUGGGGCUAAUACCGGAUAGGAGCUCCUGCUGCAUGGUGGGGGUUGGAAAGUUUCGGCGGUUGGGGAUGGACUCGCGGCUUAUCAGCUUGUUGGUGGGGUAGUGGCUUACCAAGGCUUUGACGGGUAGCCGGCCUGAGAGGGUGACCGGCCACAUUGGGACUGCGAUACGGACCAGACUCCUACGGGAGGCAGCAGUGGGGAAUCUUGCACAAUGGGCGGAAGCCUGAUGCAGCAACGCCGCGUGCGGGAUGACGGCCUUCGGGUUGUGAACCGCUUUCGCCUGUGACGCAGCGUGAGUGACGGUAAUGGGUAAAGAAGCACCGGCUAACUACGUG
This 468-nucleotide ribosomal RNA is filed under the name uncultured bacterium. RNAcentral's name for it is "partial 16S ribosomal RNA". It matches the Rfam family "Bacterial small subunit ribosomal RNA", at positions 28 to 507 of the family's 1533-position model. The record is from RNAcentral.